CACAAGACACACAGGCACACACACUCCCUGGCCCCUGGAGGACCAACAUCAAGUGCUAGCUUUAUUUAAAUGACAUCCGUCUGCACAGUAACCCUCCAUUCAAGGGAUUAAAUUAAACAAGGUGUGUGUCCAGUGUAAUAUUGCAUUGUAUUCUGCAUUGGCAGAAUAUUAUAAUUUCUCAUUUCUUAUACCGAUCCUGUCAGUUGGUGGAUUUCAGAAAGAACAUAUCUAUCAGAUGUUUUAUGUAUAAAAAAAACAUCAAUGAAAAGGCAAAAGAAGCACACAGGGUCAAAGGAGAAAGCAGAUUAGCUGACGGAGUUGAAAGCAGAUUGGCUGACAGAGGUGAGGGCUGUUUGCGCUAUCCAAAACCGCAACCUGAGCCACAAAACCUCAGACACACACACCCACAGGUAUUUGUCGAAUUGGGACACUAGCAAUCCGCAAAACGUUUUAAGUACCCUACACAUCAAUGUGGAAAAGACAAAGGAGCUGAUCAUCAAUGGCACCAACUUACCAAGUCCCAACCACUCUUCCUGAACGACCAACCAGUGGAGGUGGUUGAGUGUUUUAAAUACCUAGGGAAACUAAUUGAUAACACGAGUUUUUCAGAGAAUGCAGACUAUUUUUUUUUAAGCUAGCCAAUGCCUGUUCUUAAUCAGGAAAUUAAAGGGGUUUGGGGUCAGCAAGGAUGUUCUGGAGAGGGUGUACAGCAGCUUGUUGGAGAGCAUCCUCACUUUCAAUAUGACAGUCUGUUAUGGUAAUCUGACUAUGAGGAGCCAAAGUAAACUGACCAGAAUAGUAAACACAGCCAGCAAAGUAAUUGGUCGACCACAGGCACAUUUGAACAUUCUAUUCCACAAGGCAACCAAAAAGAAGACACUGGCUGUCGUUGGAGACCCUUCCCACCCUCUACACCCUCAGUUGGAGACCCUUCCCACCCUCUACACCCUCAGUUGGAGACCCUUCCCACCCUCUACACCCUCAGUUGGAGACCCUUCCCACCCUCAACACCCUCAGUUGGAGACCCUUCCCACCCUCGACACCCUCAGUUGGAGACCCUUCCCACCCUCGACACCCUCAGUUGGAGACCCUUCCCACCCUCUACACCCUCAGUUGGAGACCCUUACACCCCUGGAGACCCUUCCCACCCUCUACACCCUCAGUUGGAGACCCUUCCCACCCUCUACACCAUCAGGUGGAGACCCUUCCCACCCUCUACACCCUCCGGUGGAGACCCUUCUCACCCUCUACACCCUCAGGUGGAGACCCUUCCCACCCUCUACACCCUCAGGUGGAGACCCUUCCCACCCUCUACACCCUCAGGUGGAGACCCUUCCCACCUUCUACACCCUCAGGUGGAGACCCUUCCCACCCUCUACACCCUCAGGUGGAGACCCUUCUCACCCUCUACACCCUCAGGUGGAGACCCUUCCCACCCUCUACACCCUCAGGUGGAGACCCUUCCCACCCUCUACACCCUCAGGUGGAGACCCUUCCCACCCUCUACACCAUCAGGUGGAGACCCCCAGAGUACCCAUGGCCAAGUAGAAUGUGUUCAAACAUUCAUUUGUUCCUCGUUCCGCUGUAGGACUACUAAAUGCUAAGUCAGUUGUGUCUGUAUAUGUACUUAUCUAUCUAGGGCAGUUGGGACAGCGGUCUGUUUUGAGUGAAUGUAUCAAUGUCCUCUAUGUUGUUAGUGUACAACAUGAUGGACUGACUGGUUUAGAUGUGUAUGAUGUGAGAAUGUACAGUACAUGUAUGUGAUUAUUUUAAUGGGUGGUGAUGCCAAAGAGAAAUGUUUAUCCUGGAUGGACAAUAAAGUUUUCUAUUCUAUUAGCUAUCAUAUUUUAAUUCCACUGAUUUCAAAACGUGAUCCUCCAGAAAGUGGAGAACAACACUUAUGCAGCUUCACUACACAAUACAUUAAAUUAAAGCUGCGUUCCACACGAUUAGCAACACAGACUGACCGGCUCAAAUAGACAGAAACAAUCUGUAUGGCAGACCAAUCUGAACUCCUCUCUCUGCAUGUCCAGCCCACUCAUUAUGUCAGCCAAUCAUGGCUAGUAGGAAGGUUGCUGGCUUCUCUGUGGCUUAACCAACAAGUCUCAUAAUUUAACAAUUGUAUUCAUAUUUACAGAUGGCAUACAAGUUUGUUAUUAAGACACAUGUAAGUUCACAUGGCAACAAAAAAAGGCAUUUUGAUGAAAAAAACAAUGCUGAG
This is a long non-coding RNA of Oncorhynchus tshawytscha (Chinook salmon), 2221 nucleotides long. The record is from Ensembl. NCBI's taxonomy places the organism in Eukaryota, Metazoa, Chordata, Actinopteri, Salmoniformes, Salmonidae.